Molecule: long non-coding RNA, 1635 nt
Filed under: Aquilegia coerulea
Lineage: Eukaryota; Viridiplantae; Streptophyta; Magnoliopsida; Ranunculales; Ranunculaceae
Description: long non-coding RNA (ACOE_LNC000013)
Source: RNAcentral
AAAGAAAUGUCAUUUACUUGAAAGUUGAACUGACUUAAAUAUCAAAAAGGAGAACUGUGAAAAGGAAACAUACUAUCAUAUAACUAAACGUUCCUCAAGGCUUAAUCCCAAUUUACAAGGCUAUUAGAAUGAGAAAAAUGUUUUGCACGCAACCUCUGUUUCUCGCACAGGAAUCCAAGUGAUCUUAACUCCUGGUUCUUCAAAUUGUAAACAACCACCUCAUUACCUUGAUGUAUGAGAAUUUUCACGAGGUCUAAUAAGUUACUACUAUCAGCACCUCUCAUGGCAACAAGGCAGGUAUCAAUGGACACGAAGCUAUCAUAUGAAGAAGGUAGGUUAGAUAACGAAUCAAGCAGAACUCUCUGAGAUUUGGUCCACACACAUCUAAGUUUGUCCUCCAAAAUGAACAUCUGCAAUUGAUGAUGAGAAGCAGUCGUGAGGCAUAACAAUCCUUUCACCUCCAAUAAGAGGUAGUGUUUUUUUUUCAGUGUCAUACAAAAAACCUGAGCCGGGUUUAGCUAUGUGUGGUGGAAUUUGUGUCUCAUUGAACUCCAGUGUCUCAAUAUUUAAAGAAGAUAUGCAGUACCACUUGUUCUGGUGCUCAUCGUAAUCAGUUAGGUCCUCUACUUUUGUCAGCCAUUGAAGUUCCUUUUGAAUUAGUAUGAUCUGUGAACAUACUCUAAAGUUCAUGUCCUCAUGAUUUCGGAUAGUCUGUGCCUUCCAAGAAUUACCAUCAUGAGGCACGUUUCUUCUAUUUUUCCCCAGAGUAAGCACAACAUAUUGGAACUUGUUCAUAAUUCCAAACACUUUGUAUUGAUCAACACAGGUAUCAUGAACUAAUGCCCAAUGACAACAAUGACAGUCAGCAUUAAUACCAUUCACCCAACGACAACAGUCAAGACGAAUAAGAGGAAGACGCUCAAAACGGGCAAUGACAGGGUUGGAGAUAUAAAGUUGUGGAGCCUGUUCUUGGUCUUGAAAGAGGAGUAAACCAUCACAAGAUGCUUCCAAAGACAAGCUCUCCCUAUUGUGAAUAUAAGAAGGCAACAACAAUUCCUUUGCUUUAUCCUUUUGGAUAUUGAUUACAGAAUAAUAAUAAUGAUGAAAUUCAGUAACACAAUAUGGCUUAGCUUGAAAGAGGAUUUCUUCUUCUAAUUGUGUUCGGUGAGAAGGAAUCAAUUUUAACUUCAAGUGAGCUUUGAUGAAAUUGGGAUGACAGAUUAAAGAGCACCAUAGUUUGGAUACAAGCUUGAAACUUUGUAGAUCUUUAGCAUUAAGAUGUAACAGAAUCUCAAUUAUAACUUCUUCAGGUAAGUAAGUUCCAUUGUAAUUAUGCAAUUUUUUCUGUAAAGUAGUCAUCUAUAAAAAAAAAAAAAAAAAAAAAUACUCCGAUUGGUGUUCUUACCUUAAGAAUCUUUCAGCAGCUGGUGGUGAUGGAAAGUGUUCUUUCUAAAGGUUUGUUUUUCGAUUUUGUGUAGGUUUCGGAUAGAUUAUGAAAAGUUAGAUUUGGAUCUGGAUUGUUCUCCUGUUUGGGAACUGAACUUGUUUGCCAAAGAUUCUGUUGUUGGGGGCUGAAAGCAAUACCAAAUUACCAAUAUCUAGUAAAUAAGUUAAAGCCCAGCCAAUAAUGUAAGU